AUGAACUCAGGCACCCCACCUCCAAGCCCCUCUGGCCCACCUCCUCCCCCCGUACCACAGCCCCAGGCCCUGGCCAGGCUCAAUGCUACCGCCUCACUGGAGCAGGACAAGAUUGAACCGCCUCGUGCUCCCAGACCUCAGACUGACCCCAGUGCUGGACCAAGAGCUGGAGAAGCAGCCACUCCAGAGCCUCGGGCCCCUCAAACCAGCAGCUGAGGAGAAGGAGCAGAUAGAGCUGGUCCCAUGAAGGCAGAUGUGGAGAUCCCCUUUGAAGAAGUCCUGGAGAAAGCCAAGGCUGGAGACCCCAAAGCACAGACAGAGGUGGGCAAACACUACCUACGACUUGCCAACAAUGCAGAUGAAGAACUCAAUAGUUGCUCAGCCGUGGCCUGGCUCAUUCUGGCAGCCAAGCAGGGCAGGCAGGAGGCCGUGAAGCUCCUGAGGCGGUGCCUAGCUGACCGGAAAGGCAUUACUUCUGAGAAUGAGGCCGAAGUGAAGCAGCUAUCCUCUGAGACCGACCUGGAAAGGGCAGUGUGCAAGGCUGCCCUGGUCAUGUACUGGAAAUUCAACCCCAAGAAGAAGAAGCAGGUGGCUGUGUCCGAGUUGCUGGAGAAUGUCGGGCAGGUCAAUGAGCAAGAUGGAGGGGCGCAGCCAGGCCCAGUCCCCAGGUCCCUGCAGAAGCAGAGGCGCAUGUUGAAGCGCCUCAUCAGCAGUGAAUCCAAGAACUACAUUGCUCUGGACGAUUUUAUGGAGCUCACCAAGAAGUAUGCGAAGGGCAUCAUCCCCACCAAACUGUUCUUGCAGGAUGAAGAUGAAGAUGAGGACGAGCUGGCAGGGAAGAGCCCUGAGGACCUGCCACUACGCCAGAAGGUAGUGAAGUACCCCUUCCACGCCAUCAUGGAGAUCAAAGAGUACCUGAUUGACGUGGCCUCCAAGGCAGGCAUGCACUGGCUCUCCACCAUUGUGCCCACCCAUCACAUCAACGCCCUCUUCUUCUUCUUCAUCAUCAGCAACCUAACCAUCGACUUCUUCUCCUUCUUCAUCCUCUGGUGGUCUUCUACCUGUCUUUGUGUCUAUGGCCAUCUGUACGCUUAAGGUAUUCCAGGACAGCAAGGCCUGAGAGAACUCUCACCGACCAGCUGCUGCGCUUCGAGCCCAACCUGGACGUGGAGCAGGGAGAAGUGAACUUCGGCUGGAACCACCUCGAGCCCUAUGUCCACUUCCUGCUGUCAGUCAUCUUUGUCAUCUUCUCCUUCCCGCUAGCCAGCAAGGACUGCAUCCCCUGCUCGGAGCUGGCCAUCGUCUCCACCUUCUUCACGGUGACCAGCUACAUGAGCCUGAGCAGCUCCGCCAAGCUGUACACCAGGCGGGCCCUGGUCACUGAGGUGACUGCUGGGUUGCUGUCCCUUCUGCCCACCAUGCCCGUGGACUGGCGCUUUCUGAAAGUGCUCGGCCAGACGUUCUUCACCGUGCCCAUUGGUCACUUCAUGAUCCUGAACGUCAGCCUCCCCUGCCUGCUCUAUGUCUCUUUUACCUCUUCUUCCGCAUGGCCCAGCUGAGGGGCUUCAAGGGCACCUAUUGCUACCUGGUGCCCUACCUGGUGUGCUUCAUGUGGUGUGAACUGUCCGUGGUCAUCCUGCUCCAGUCUACCGGCCUGGGCUUGGUCCGUGCCUCCAUCGGCUACUCCCUCUUCCUCUUUGCCCUCCCCAUCCUGGUGGUUGCCCUUGCCCUUAUGGGCACAGUGCAGUUUGCCCGAUGGUUCCUGUCACUGGACCUCACUAAGAUCAUUGUCACCACAGUGAUCUGCAGCAUACCCCUGCUUUUCCGUUGGACCAAGGCCAACUUUUCAGUAAUGGGGAUGGUCAAGUCCCUGACCAGGAGCUCAAUGGUGAAACUCAUUCUGGUGUGGCUCAGGGCCAUCCUGCUCUUCUGCUGGUUCUACGUGUACUGGUCAGAAGGCCUGAAGGUCUACAAUUCCACACUCACCUGGCAGCAAUAUGGCUUCCUGUGUGGGCCAGGGGCCUGGAAGGAGACUAACAUGGCACAGACCCAGAUCUUGUGCAGCCACUUGGAGGGCCACAGGGUCACAUGGACCGGCCGUUUCAAGUAUGUCUGAGUGACCAAGAUCGACAACAGUGCCAAGUCGGCCAUUAACAUGCUCCCUUUCUUCCUAGGUGACUAGAUGCACUGACUCUAUGGUGAGGCCUACCCAUCCUGUAGCUCUGGCAACAUGUCCACGGCUGAGGAGGAGCUCUGUUGUCUCAAGCAGCUGGCCAAGCACCCCUGCCACAUCAAGAAGUUUGACUGCUACAAGUUUGAGAUCACAGUGGGCAUGCCCUUUGGCACCAACGGCAACCGCGGCCAUGAAGAGGACCACAUCACCAAGGACAUUGUUCUGCGUGCCAGCAGCAAGUUCAAGGACGUGCUGCUGAGCCUGUGCCACAGCAGCCUCAUAGAAUUCAGCACCAUCCUCAAGGGCCACCUGGGGAGCAAGUGGCCCGUCUUUGAGCUCAAGGCCAUCAGCUGCUUCAACUGCAUGGCCCAGCUGUCCCCUGCCCAGAGGCACGUAAAGAUCGAGCAGAAUUGGCGUAGUACCAUGCACGGUGCCCUCAAGUUUGCCUUCAAUUUCUUCUUCUUCCCAUUCCUGUCUGCCGCCUGA
Arvicanthis niloticus (Nile rat) is the source of this 2659-nucleotide non-coding RNA. NCBI's taxonomy places the organism in Eukaryota, Metazoa, Chordata, Mammalia, Rodentia, Muridae. The record is from RefSeq and is a predicted model, not a curated record.